This 1325-nucleotide ribosomal RNA is filed under the name metagenome. RNAcentral describes it as "bacterial LSU rRNA". It matches the Rfam family "Bacterial large subunit ribosomal RNA", at positions 1561 to 2925 of the family's 2925-position model. The record is from RNAcentral.
AGUGGAUGGGGAGCAACCUAGUUGUGCGUGUGUAAAGGUAGUGCCAAGAAAAGCGAUGAUCAUGUUGAAAAUCAAUUCCCGGUACCCGAAACCGACACAGGUGGGCAAGUAGAGAAUACUAAGGGGCGCGAGGUAACUCUCUCCAAGGAACUCGGCAAAAUGACCCCGUAACUUAGGGAGAAGGGGUGCCACCGAGAGGUGGUCGCAGUGAAGAGGCCCAGGCGACUGUUUAGCAAAAACAUAGGUCUCUGCAAACUCGAAAGAGGAGGUAUAGGGGCUGACGCCUGCCCAGUGCCGGAAGGUUAAAGAAGUUGGUCAGUCUUAGGAUGAAGCUAGCGACUGAAGCCCCGGUGAACGGCGGCCGUAACUAUAACGGUCCUAAGGUAGCGAAAUUCCCUGUCGGGUAAGUUCCGACCCGCACGAAAGGCGUAACGAUCUGGGCGCUGUCUCGGAGAGAGGCUCGGCGAAAUAGGAUUGUCUGUGAAGAUACGGACUACCUGCAUUUGGACAGAAAGACCCUAUGAAGCUUUACUAUAGCUUGGAAUUGUGUUCGGGCUUCCUGUGCGCAGGAUAGGUGGGAGGCGUAGAAGGUAUUCUUGUGGGGAUACUGGAGCCAACGGUAAGAUACCACUCUCAGGAGGCUAGAAUUCUAACUUAAUUAAGGACAGUUUCAGGUGGGUAGUUUGACUGGGGCGGUCGCCUCCAAAAAGGUAACGGAGGCGUACAAAGGUUCCCUCAGACUGGUUGGAAAUCAGUCGAAGAGUGCAAAGGCAGAAGGGAGCUUGACUGCGAGAAGUACAGUUCGAGCAGGGUGGAAACACGGUCUUAGUGAUCCGACGGUGCUGUGUGGAAGGGCCGUCGCUCAACGGAUAAAAGUUACUCUAGGAUAACAGGCUGAUCUCCCCCAUGAGUUCACAUCGACGGGGAGGUUUGGCACCUCGAUGUUGGCUCAUCGCAACCUGGGGCGGAAGUACGUCCCAAGGGUUGGGCUGUUCGCCCAUUAAAGCGGUACGUGAGCUGGGUUCAGAACGUCGUGAGACAGUUCGGUCCAUAUCCGAUGUAGGCGUGAGAAUAUUGAGAGGAGCCUUCCUUAGUACGAGAGGACCGGGAAGGACGCACCGCUGGUGUACCUGUUAUGAUGCCAAUUGUAAACGCAGGGUAGCCAAGUGCGGAGAGGAUAACCGCUGAAAGCAUCUAAGUGGGAAGCCCACCUCAAGAUGAGUAUUCUGGUGUAAGGUCACGGGAAGACGACCCGUAAAUAGGCACGAGGUGGAAGUGCAGAGAUGUAUGAAGCCGAAGUGUACUAAUAGACCGUCGGCUUGACC